ACAUUCGUAGUGGUUUUAUGUAAAACAUUAUACAUAUUAAAAAAAAUAAAAAAAUGUACAUGUAUAAUUUGAUCAAAAAUUGCAUGCACAUUGAUAAUGUAAAAAAAAAAAAAAAAAGCAAUACUAUAAAAACGCAUUAGAAACCACUAAUACAAUUAAAAUAUGUUUAUUUGUAAAUGGCGUUACUUAUGUUAUUAUUUUUAACUUUUCAUAACAAAAUAUAUUUACAUUUACAAUUAUUGUUUGUGUUAUAAUUUUAAUUUGAAAAAAUUUUAGUUUGUAACUAAAUAUAUAAAAAAUAUUUGAUAGUUUUAUAUUACACAUAUUGUCAUACGGAGUAAAAUAUAUUUGUAAAGCUAUAUAUAUUUUUGUCAUUUAUCUGUACAAUUAGAAAAGCAUAAUUGAGCAGUAUGGCAGAAGGAAAUCCACAAGAAAAUAAUAAUAAUACACCAAGUUUAACUACAUUUCUUGAAGAGUUAACUAAUGGAACGGAUGGUACUUUACAGGAUGUGGAUAGUAACCAAACGAUUAUUUCGACACAUCAUCGAAUUCGUAAAGACUUAACAGAUAAUCCGAAUGCUAUGCAACUAACUGGCUUAUUCAUCUAUAAGAUGCAAGCAUUUGUAGUGUUGCUAGCGAUUAUUGUAUUUAUUAUUUGUGUGCUUCUUAUAUUUUGCGAAAGAUGCAGAGUAAGAUUAAUAAAAAAAAUUAUGUAAUAUAUAUUUAUACAUUCUUCAUUUGUAUAUAGUUACAUAUAAGUAGUUGCAUUAUUAUAUAAUAAUGAGUUUUGCAUAUUUUUUUUUUUAUAACAGAGACAUUGUCAUAGAUUAAAACAAGGACGUAGAUCAGGAUGUGGUCGUCGUAGACGACGAUAAACUCGCUCGAUAUGGUAACACAACAAACAUAAGGAUUUAUUUAAUUAAGCAUCAUUAUGUGUGUGAAAAAGCGUAGUACGCUAAAACUUCAAAUAAUAGCACAAAUUUAAAUUCAAUUAUUUUGUGAUUUUUGAAAUUGUAAAAAUAUGCAAACAGUAAAAAUGUUUCCAUAUAUUAUUAAUUUAUAUGUUAUGUGCAUUUUUAACAUUAUUAGCAAUUGAUAUAACAAGUUUAAG
This 1111-nucleotide long non-coding RNA is filed under the name Piliocolobus tephrosceles (Ugandan red Colobus). RNAcentral's name for it is "lncRNA (ENSPTEG00000011646.1)". Lineage: Eukaryota; Metazoa; Chordata; Mammalia; Primates; Cercopithecidae. The record is from RNAcentral.